GCCAUGCAUGUCUCAGUACUUGCUUUUACAAGGCGAAACCGCGAAUGGCUCAUUAAAUCAGUUAUGGUUCACUAGAUCGUCAAUUUUACACGGAUAACUGUGGUAAUUCUAGAGCUAAUACGUGCAAAUAGCUCGCUUCCUUGCGGAGCGAGCGCAGUUAUUAGAUCAAAACCAAUCCGGCCUUCGGGUCGGUACAAUUGGUGACUCUGAAUAACCGAAGCGGAGCGCAUGGUCUCGUACCGGCGCCAGAUCUUUCAAGUGUCUGACUUAUCAGCUUGUUGUUAGGUUACGUUCCUAACAAG
RNAcentral lists this ribosomal RNA (302 nucleotides) under Tardigrada sp. A011 MOTU007. Its description in RNAcentral is "SSU rRNA". It matches the Rfam family "Eukaryotic small subunit ribosomal RNA", at positions 48 to 348 of the family's 1831-position model. Lineage: Eukaryota; Metazoa; Tardigrada. The record is from RNAcentral.